RNAcentral lists this long non-coding RNA (574 nucleotides) under Cricetulus griseus (Chinese hamster). RNAcentral describes it as "lncRNA (ENSCGRG00015041527.1)". The record is from RNAcentral. Lineage: Eukaryota; Metazoa; Chordata; Mammalia; Rodentia; Cricetidae.
AGAGGCGCAGAGAGAGAGGCAGAGAGAGGCAGAGAGAGGCAGAGGCGCAGAGAGAGAGGCAGAGAGAGGCAGAGAGAGGCAGAGAGAGAGAGGCAGAGAGAGGCAGAGAGAGGCAGAGAGAGAGAGGCAGAGAGAGAGGCAGAGAGAGGCAGAGAGAGAGAGAGAGGCAGAGAGAGAGGCAGAGAGAGGCAGAGAGAGGCAGAGAGGCAGAGAGAGGCAGAGAGAGGCAGAGAGAGAGAGGCAGAGAGGCAGAGAGAGGCAGAGAGAGAGCAGAGAGAGGCAGAGAGAGGCAGAGAGAGGGAGGCAGAGAGAGGCAGAGAGAGGAGAGGCAGAGAGAGGCAGAGAGAGGCAGAGAGAGAGAGGCAGAGAGAGGCAGAGAGAGAGAGGCAGAGAGAGGCAGAGAGAGGCAGAGAGAGGGAGGCAGAGGGAGGGAGGCAGAGAGAGGGAGGCAGAGAGAGGGAGGCAGAGAGAGGGAGGCAGAGAGAGGGAGGCAGAGAGAGAGAGGCAGAGAGAGAGGCAGAGAGAGAGAGGCAGAGAGAGAGAGGCAGGCAGAGAGAGGCAGGCAGAGAGAGAG